CAGCCGCCACGGGAAUACGGAGGGAGCUAGCGUUGUUCGGAAUUACUGGGCGUAAAGCGCACGUAGGCGGCUUUGUAAGUUAGAGGUGAAAGCCUGGAGCUCAACUCCAGAAUUGCCUUUAAGACUGCAUCGCUUGAAUCCGAGAGAGGUGAGUGGAAUUCCGAGUGUAGAGGUGAAAUUCGUAGAUAUUCGGAAGAACACCAGUGGCGAAGGCGGCUCACUGGCUCGGUAUUGACGCUGAGGUGCGAAAGCGUGGGGAGCAAACAGGAUUAGAUACCCGUGUAGUCCCUGUCUCUUAUAC
This 301-nucleotide ribosomal RNA is filed under the name uncultured bacterium. Its description in RNAcentral is "partial 16S ribosomal RNA". It matches the Rfam family "Bacterial small subunit ribosomal RNA", at positions 509 to 807 of the family's 1533-position model. The record is from RNAcentral.